CAAGAUGUAUUUAAAAACACCUCCAAGAUGAUCUUAGCAGCCCCGACUAAUUAAACUCCACGAAAGCUAGGACACAAACUGGGAUUAGAUACCCCACUAUGCCUAGCCCUAAAUCUUGAUACCUUCCAUCACCAAAGUAUCCGCCUGAGAACUACGAGCACAAACGCUUAAAACUCUAAGGACUUGGCGGUGCCCCAGACCCACCUAGAGGAGCCUGUUCUAUAAUCGAUAACCCACGAUGCACCCGACCACUCCUUGCCAAAGCAGCCUAUAUACCGCCGUCGCCAGCUCACCUCGCCUGAAAGAACAACAGUGAGCAUAAUAGCCCCAACCCCGCUAACAAGACAGGUCAAGGUAUAGCCUAUGGGGUGGAAGAAAUGGGCUACAUUUUCUAAAAUAGAUAACCUCACGGAAAGGGACAUGAAAUUGCCCCUGGAAGGCGGAUUUAGCAGUAAGGUGGGACAAUAAAGCCCACUUUAAGCCGGCUCUGAGGUACGUACAUACCGCCCGUCACCCUCCUCACAAGCUACGUAUAACAUAUAACUAAUACCCUUCCCCCGGCUGAAGAUGAGGUAAGUCGUAACAAGGUAAGUGUACCGGAAGGUGCACUUAGCAUAU
Molecule: ribosomal RNA, 618 nt
Filed under: Pygoscelis adeliae (Adelie penguin)
Lineage: Eukaryota; Metazoa; Chordata; Aves; Sphenisciformes; Spheniscidae
Description: partial 12S ribosomal RNA
Rfam family: Bacterial small subunit ribosomal RNA
Source: RNAcentral